CGCUCAGAAGAAAAUGUGAUGGGGCCUCCAAUUGCCUCUUCUACGCGGUGGCCCGCAGCAGAGGGAAGGGAAUUCGCAAAAACAAUACGGUCUAUACACAAAACAAAUUAAUGAUUUUCCUGUUUUGCAAGCUUUCCUCUAAAAAUGAAAAACGGAAACUUAUUCAACUUGUAUCGGGGCACCUCAUGCUCUGGUAGACCAAUCACAACUUCUUUAAUAAUAGAAAACAGACUGCCGGAGCAUGGGGGGAAAUAGCCAGGCAUCUGGCGACCACCGUGGCCAGAUGCCAGAAAGUUUGGCACCAGCUCCGGUACAAGUACCGAGCAAUAAGGAUACGUGAGCUGGCAGCGAUUAAAGAAACAGGAUAUCCCCCCCAAAAUGUGAUGGGGCCUCCAAUUGCCUCUUCCACGCUGCGACCCGCUGCGGAAUAGGAGAGCGUCGCAUCGGAGGGAAGGGAAAAGAGUGCAGUUGGAGGCGCCCAUUACGAACGACGGGUCUACUGAGUGAGGCUAUGGAACGCACAAAUCUCUAUUAUAAAACUCUAGUAAAGGCUGAUCAGUGUUACUUUACAGCAGAUUCUUGGAUGAUUUUAUUUAGUUUAUUUGUGUUAGUUAGUUAGUUAGUAGUUAAUGUUUUUAGAUACAUUUUAUGGAUUUUUAUUAACUCGCAAAAACAAGACGGUCUAUACACAAAACAAAUUAAUAAUUUUCCUAUUUUGCAAGCAUUCGUCUAAAAACGAAAAACAGAAAUUGAUCCGGCUUGUAUCGGAGCACCCUAUGCUCUGGCAGAGCGAUCAUAUCUUCUAUAACAAGAGUGUAAAAUGGGGGUACCAGGAUAGUAAUACACAACGCUUUAGUUAUCGUAGUUCGAGAAAAAAGAAGGGCCUUUAUUAUCUAAGCAAUUGGCUUAUUUGCAAUUGGCAAUUGGCCACUCACGGUAACUCAUGUCUUACUCGGAAAUGAUCGUAUCCGAUUUAUUGUGGUCCAACCUGACUACGCAGUUCUGUCCACCGGGACGCGCCACUCACCGGCAGCAGUCGACGGCUGUCGUAUAAUGUGUGCGUGAAAGGAUGUGCGUGAGUUCCCGGGUCGCUGACCAGAGGAGCAGAAGGGAGAAUAAGGGAGCGAAGAGAGAGAGGGAGUAUACACAUUCGUUCGGUAGGGCUAGAUUAGGGAAAACGGGCCCGUUUUAGUAUUAGGAAUAGGGAAUAAAGAUUUUAUAGUAAUUUGUGUGUCGAUCCAUAUAA
This is a long non-coding RNA of Anopheles coluzzii, 1246 nucleotides long. RefSeq lists it as uncharacterized. The record is from RefSeq and is a predicted model, not a curated record. Lineage: Eukaryota; Metazoa; Arthropoda; Insecta; Diptera; Culicidae. The transcript is spliced from 2 exons.